CGUUUACUGUCUCCCCUCCUCCUCAUCAGAAUGUAAGCUCCUCGAGGUGAAGGUCUGGGUUUGUUUUGUCCGACAAUGUAUCUAUCCCCAGGUCCGGGCACAGGCCGGGCACACAGCAGGCGCUCAGUAAAUAUUUCAUCGACGCGAUGAACUUGGCAAACAUCGCCCGAAUUCCUCUGGCCCCCUUUCUAGGCUCUGGCCAGGAGCCGGUAAACCAAGGCGAUUACAGCCUUCGGACCCAAGACACCACCCCGGAGCCCACAGCAUCUGCCAAUCUCGGCUUCUCCCCACCUCGGGGCCUUUGCACGUGCUGUGCCCUCAGCACCUCCCAGCGUCACCUGGACUACUUCCACAGACUCUUUUGGCCUCAGUUUGUGUGGCUUUAAGUGAGGCCUCGAGCGUCU
RNAcentral lists this long non-coding RNA (404 nucleotides) under Equus caballus (horse). Its description in RNAcentral is "lncRNA (ENSECAG00000051701.1)". Lineage: Eukaryota; Metazoa; Chordata; Mammalia; Perissodactyla; Equidae. The record is from RNAcentral.